AAUCAAGUUAAUAAGGGCAUAUGGUGGAUGCCUUGGCGAUAAAAGACGAAGAAGGACGUGGUUGGCUGCGAUAAGCUUCGGUGAGCCGUCAAACAGGCUUUGAUCCGGAGAUUUCCGAAUGGGGAAACCCAUUAUCCUUAAUCGGAUAAUAUUGCUGUCUGAAUACAUAGGGCAGUAAGGUUAACCAGGUGAACUGAAACAUCUAAGUAACCUGAGGAAGAGAAAUCAAUUUAGAGAUUACCUCAGUAGCGGCGAGCGAACGGGUAACAGCCCAAACCUAUUGGAUGUUAAAGCCCACAAGCGUUGUUCAAUAGGGGUUGUAGGGAUUAUGAUAUGUAUUUGUGGAUGCAUAUGAGAGUUAAAAAAUUAUUUAAUAGUAGAAUAACCUGGAAAGGUUAGCCAUAGAUGGUAAAAGCCCGGUAUACGAAAUUAAAUAAUCUCUCACAUAAUUUCCUGAGUACAACGGAACACGUGAAAUUCCGUUGGAACCUGCGAGGACCAACUCGCAAGGCUAAAUACUUUUAUCGACCGAUAGUGAACUAGUACCGUGAGGGAAAGGUGAAAAGUACCCCUGAAGGGGAGUGAAAUAGAACCUGAAACCGUAUGCUUACAAGUAGUAGGAGGCAGUUUAUCUGCUGACUGCGUACUUUUUGUAGAACGGACCGGCGAGUUACAGUAUGCAGCAAGGUUAAGCUAUUAUAGCGUAGCCGUAGCGAAAGCGAGUCUGAAUAGGGCGUCUAGUUGUAUGCUGUAGACCCGAAGCUGGGUGAUCUAUCCAUGGCCAGGGUGAAGCGAAGGUAAAACUUUGUGGAGGCCCGAACCCACUAAGGCUGAAAACUUAGGGGAUGAGCUGUGGAUAGGGGUGAAAGGCCAAUCAAACUCAGAGAUAGCUGGUUCUCCUCGAAAUAGCUUUAGGGCUAGCCUUAAGUGUUUGAUUCUGGUGGUAGAGCACUGAAUGGACUAGGGACCUUACAAGGUUACCAAAUCCAAUUAAACUCCGAAUGCCAGGAUUUUAUAGCUUAGGAGUCAGACUGUGAAGGAUAAGCUCCAUAGUCAAAAGGGAAACAGCCCAGACCAUCGGCUAAGGUCCCAAAAUAUAUGCUAAGUGGUAAAGGAUGUAAAGUUACUCAGACAACCAGGAUGUUUGCUUAGAAGCAGCAAUCAUUUAAAGAGUGCGUAACAGCUCACUGGUCAAGUGAUUAUGCGCCGAAAAUUCAACGGGGCUCAAGCAUAUUACCGAAGCCAUGGAUUCUGAUUUAUCAGAAUGGUAGAGGAGCGUUCCGUAAAGGCUGAAGCUUAAUUGUAAGAUUAGGUGGACUUUACGGAAGUGAGAAUGCAGGUAUAAGUAACGAAAGACAGGCGAGAAACCUGUCCGCCGAAUACCUAAGGUUUCCUGGGCAAGGUUAAUCCUCCCAGGGUUAGUCGAGACCUAAGCCGAGGCCGAAAGGCGUAGGCGAUGGAUAACAGGUUAAUAUUCCUGUACGACCAAAUUAUGUUUGAUCAAUGGGGUGACGUAGAAAGGUAGGCCAUCGUGGUUUGGUUGACUACGUGUAAGCGUGUAGGGUGCUAAUUAGGAAAAUCCGGUUAGCAUUAAACCUGAGACGUGAUACCGAUCCAAUUAUGGCGAAGUGGUUGAUCCUAUGCUACCAAGAAAAACCUCUAGGUAGUAAUUUGGUUCUCGUACCAAAACCGACACAGGUAGGUAGGUAGAGAAUACUAAGGCGAUCGAGAUAACCCUUGUUAAGGAACUCGGCAAAAUAACCCCGUAACUUUGGGAUAAGGGGUACCCCAGUAGCGUGAAGAAACUUGCUUUUGGAGCGUGAAAAGGUUGCAAUAGAAAGGCUCAAGCGACUGUUUACUAAAAACACAGGUCUCUGCUAAGUCGUAAGACGAUGUAUAGGGGCUGACGCCUGCCCGGUGCUGGAAGGUUACGAGGAGAGGUUAGGACUUCGGUCCGAAGCUUUGAAUCUAAGCCCCAGUAAACGGCGGCCGUAACUAUAACGGUCCUAA
Molecule: ribosomal RNA, 2010 nt
Filed under: Bacillota bacterium
Lineage: Bacteria; Bacillati; Bacillota
Description: partial 23S ribosomal RNA
Rfam family: Bacterial large subunit ribosomal RNA
Source: RNAcentral